AUAAAGAUGCAUCAGGACUUGAAAACUCUCUUAGAUCGUGGUGGUUACUCCCAAUGUGAAGCCCAUGGACAGGCUGAGAGGAGAGAGAGAGUUAAACUGAAACUUCCUAAUUAAGAACAAUUAAUAUUACCCAAAUUAUCAGCCAAGAUGUAAGGAAUGGGGAACGUCCACCUGGUGUUUGGGUCUCUCAGGCCAUUUCUGGAUUUCUGUGAAAACAAAGGUAAAGGAACUACAGUGGAACUCCUCACUGGAACAGAUUAUAGAUGAGAUUUCUCUCAUCUCCUUCACAGUGCCCAUCCCAGGGCUGGCCGCAGAGCAGAGACUCACACCCAGUGGUACUGCCUGUCCUGAGGAACUUAUUGCAUCAUUGACAGGUACUCACCUGCAAGAGGAUGUCCCCUUGAAAGAGGUCCAAGCCUGCAGCUGGAAGUGGAAUUUUUUUUAAAAAAAGAAUAUUUGAGUGAACAUUAUUAAAAGGCAUCUUUCAUAAUAAAAUUAAUCUUUGCCAUUAUAAA
Pan troglodytes (chimpanzee) is the source of this 515-nucleotide long non-coding RNA. RefSeq lists it as uncharacterized. The record is from RefSeq and is a predicted model, not a curated record. NCBI's taxonomy places the organism in Eukaryota, Metazoa, Chordata, Mammalia, Primates, Hominidae. The transcript is spliced from 2 exons.